CAUGAAACUAGUUCAAGUGGAAGAAAACAUUAUACAUUGAAAGAUCUUCAUCAGUUGCAAGAACAUGUCUCUGAUAAACCCAAAACUCUUCCAGCAUUCUUUCUGAAUCGUAUCUAUCAGCAUGGGACACCAUGGCAGUAUGGCUCUUUGUGCCUUUGGAUUCAACGCAUCCUUUGCGAUUUUUUUUAUACCGCAUCUCAUUAGUAGCAAUCACCACUCUGAUAUGUCAACUUAAAGUACGUAUAAAUUCCUUUUAUCAAAUAUAUAUCCACGAAAAUUCGAUUAGGAUGGUUUCUACAACAAGACCAUUUGUAUCCAUUUGAUUUUUUAUAUUAUAUAGGUAUAUGUUUCAGCAGUAUAUGUAGCUUAACAUUAAUUUACUUUCUCUGUCUUAGUUAACAAUUAUAAUGCAUAGUUAGAUUAAGUGUAUAUGAAGCUUCAUGGAAACCCGUACGAGAGAUCAGGACGGUCACUAGAUUGUACAAUCAAGAACUUAGUAUAUGUACACACACACAUAUAUAUAUAUAUCAAUUAAACAAAACCGUACGUUCUAAUUACUUAAUUUUAUGAAAUCAAGAAUCUAAUCUUAUAAGAAAAUCUGCAGGCCUGUUGCCAGAAUAAACAUGGACCCAUGUUCUCUAUGUCCUACGAUGUGUAUCAAAU
Molecule: long non-coding RNA, 663 nt
Filed under: Brassica rapa (field mustard)
Lineage: Eukaryota; Viridiplantae; Streptophyta; Magnoliopsida; Brassicales; Brassicaceae
Description: long non-coding RNA (BRAP_LNC004484)
Source: RNAcentral